GACAGUCUUUGCCCCAUCAGCAGUGU
RNAcentral lists this non-coding RNA (26 nucleotides) under Rattus norvegicus (Norway rat). Lineage: Eukaryota; Metazoa; Chordata; Mammalia; Rodentia; Muridae. The record is from RNAcentral.